Molecule: ribosomal RNA, 253 nt
Filed under: uncultured bacterium
Lineage: Bacteria
Description: partial 16S ribosomal RNA
Rfam family: Bacterial small subunit ribosomal RNA
Source: RNAcentral
UACGAAGGGGGCUAGCGUUGCUCGGAAUCACUGGGCGUAAAGCACGCGUAGGCGGCUUGGUAAGUUGGAAGUGAAAUCCCGGGGCUUAACUCCGGAACUGCUUUCAAAACUAUCAAGCUAGAGUAUGGCAGGGGACAGUGGAAUUCCUAGUGUAGAGGUGAAAUUCGUAGAUAUUAGGAGGAACACCAGUGGCGAAAGCGACUGUCUGGACCAUUACUGACGCUGAGGCGUGAAAGCGUGGGGAGCAAACAGG